Molecule: long non-coding RNA, 923 nt
Filed under: Equus asinus (donkey)
Lineage: Eukaryota; Metazoa; Chordata; Mammalia; Perissodactyla; Equidae
Description: lncRNA (ENSEASG00005032102.1)
Source: RNAcentral
GGGACAGUGAUCUAAGAAUGUAAUUUGUAUUCUUCUCUGUGGCCUGGGAGACGUUUCCAAAACACGGCUCUGGCUUCUUGUGAGGACCAAAUGAACGCAUCUAUGGAGAGCUCUUAGCGCAGGGCCUGGCUAACGGAGGUGCAGCUCUGGAACCCUCCAGGAUGCCGCUGGGCCACCGUGGACAGCCCUGUCACCCUGAGAGGUCUCGUCUUCUCUCUCCCUCAUCAUCUAAGAGUUUAUAACAAUGUGCACUGAGCUCCAACUAUAUGGUAGGCAUGGUGCUAAGCGUUUUACAGGUAUGACCUCAUUUAACCAUCACAACGACCAGGUGAGGUCACUGCUGUCAUCCCACUUGACAGGAAGAAAGCUGAGGCUCCAAGGGAUCCAGGACCCAGCGAGGAGGGCGCAGAGUCGGUUCAAGCCCAGGCUCGGAUGCAUCCUUAGUUACACUCUGUCUCUGGGCUCACUCUCUGCUGUUCUCCUCCCAGAUGUGGUCUUGGUGGGAGCUGAGCUGUGGCCCAGGAGCCCCUCCCUGGGCUGUGGGAGGGGAUGUGCAGAAGGAGGAGAGAAUGACACAUAUUUGGAACCCAGGCACGAACCAGGGAGGCUGGAAGUCCUCUCAAGGCUGGCGCGUAGCCUUUCCUGCACCACCACCAUCUCCUCCUCCCCAACAACACCCUCUCAAUCAAGUGCAUUUGCUCCUGCUCUACCACAGGCCUCUGCGCAGGCUGCUUUCCUUCCGGGACAGCUAAAGGGUGGCCCAGUGUUUUGUUGGUUCGAAUCCCGGGCAUGGACAUGGCACUGCUCUUCAAGCCACACUGAGGCAGCGUCCCACAUGCCACAACUAGAAGGACCCACAACUAAGAAUAUACAACUAUAUACCAGGGGGCUUUGGGGAGAAAAAGGAAAAAAAUAAAAUCUUA